Molecule: ribosomal RNA, 342 nt
Filed under: uncultured bacterium
Lineage: Bacteria
Description: bacterial SSU rRNA
Rfam family: Bacterial small subunit ribosomal RNA
Source: RNAcentral
GACUAACGCUGGCGGCGUGCUUACCACAUGCAAGUCGAACGGUCUGACAACCGGCCUCGGUUGGUUGCCAGAUAGUGGCGGACGGGUGAGUAACGCGUGGAUAACCUGCCCAUCAGACAGGGAUAACACCGGGAAACUGGUGCUAAUACCGGAUACGUACGUAAGGGGGCAUCCCUUUACGUAGAAAGACGAUGCAAAUCGCUAUUGAUGGAUGGGUCCGCGUCCCAUUAACUAGUUGGUGAGGUAACGGCUCACCAAGGCGACGAUGGGUAGCCGGCCUGAGAGGGCGACCGGCCACACUGGAACUGAGACACGGUCCAGACUCCUACGGGAGGCAGCAUG